CCAGCCGGUGCGGGUCGCCCUU
This 22-nucleotide unclassified non-coding RNA is filed under the name Mus musculus (house mouse). Its description in RNAcentral is "oocyte_clustered_small_RNA12034". The record is from RNAcentral. Lineage: Eukaryota; Metazoa; Chordata; Mammalia; Rodentia; Muridae.